Molecule: long non-coding RNA, 3401 nt
Organism: Neopelma chrysocephalum (saffron-crested tyrant-manakin)
Lineage: Eukaryota; Metazoa; Chordata; Aves; Passeriformes; Pipridae
Exons: 3
Source: RefSeq, a predicted model, not a curated record
AAGGACUCCUCGUACUGGUAGAAAUUUCACCUCCAUUUAGAGAAUUUGCAUACUGCCACGUUAGCUAGACCAGCAAAAUCACUUAGUGUGAAAGCCACUUCUGAAAUGGCAAAUAAAAAUAGCUCAUUUUGAUUGGUUUGUUAUCCCGAGUACAACGGGGAUCCCAAAGGGUCCUGGAGCAUAUUAUACAAACACACAGAGCUAACUUCACAAAAUUAUGCACUGCAGGAAGAUUAUCACCUUCUCAAACGCACAUGGAAGAUGAAGAGAAGCAGAAUAUCUUGUACAGACAAAUUGGAUGUGUCAGUGAGUGCCUAGUUGACAUUUCAAUAGGAGGCUGGUGGUGUUCUUUGGGAUUAUUAUCCAGGAGUGCAGUUAUACCUUAGCUCCCAGAGGGGAACUUGUAUGGAAAUGCCGCUGUGAAUUGGAAGGGCCUUUGGAUCUCAGGAAAAGCCCUUGAAGGAGACUCUGCUGGAAACUGAAUGGAUGUCAGGAAAAUUUCUCUAGCCUGGAAUCUCUCUUCAGAUAUGGACUCUCCUCCCCCUUCAUUUCUGCUUUCCCUUCCUUCCCUCCCCCCUUCCUUCCCAACCCACAAGGCUUAAGAGCCACAACACCCAGCUCUUACUGAAUGUUUAGUUCCAAACCCCUAAAGGAAGGAAUACUGACCUGAACGAAACAGAGAACAAAGUAACCUGAAAACAGAGAAUAUUUUCACAGGCUUGAGUUUUCAGUGCAAUAAAGCCAGAGCUGCCAGAAGGAGUCCCAGAAGUGGUGAGUCAGAUAAUAAACGUACGGCUGUGGUGGGAGGGAAACGGUCUCGACUUUGUUUUAUCCCAUACCCCCCCCUUAGAAAGGCAGAUGAAAUUGUUUUCCAGUCAUAACCCUGUGAAAACAAACAUGGAGUUUAAAGGUUAUUUCCUUUGUUUUGACUCAAAAAGGGAAGGAUGACGAUUUGUCAAUGAUCUCAAAUUCUGCUCUAAAAGUUUUUCCAGGAUCGCCUGAGGUGGCAGAGCUGCUGUUUUGUUUAUUGAUAUAUUUCACUUGCUCGUGUUAAUUUAAACAAAACUUACCAAAAAAUGGCUGUUUUUUCACACCAGUUUCAAUUAGAACCUUGUCAUGGUUGGGCUCGGUUAAGGGCAGUUGGACAAACACCUCUAAGUGAGACUUGUGCAACAUGUUCCUCACUCCUUCAUUACUCCCUUCAGGGGACCCUCUUCAUCUGCACCAGGGAACUAGCUCAGAGUACUAGUCUAAGUUAAAAAUAAAUGAGGGUUAUGGGGACUAUUUCUAAUUGAAAUCAAUUCCCUGAUUCAAUUUAACAUGGGGCUGCACCAGGAAAAAAAACACUGGCACAAUGCAGGGACAGUGUGAAGGGGAAGAGGGCAGGAGUGCGUGGUGGGGAAUGCAUAAGUAGGAAUUUCUACCAAAAAAUAGGUUGUCAGACUAUGUCCUGAAAGACUUUACAUUCCUCCAUGCCAGAGCCAUCUCUUUGCUUUGAGAGCAGGUAACACCUUGCAGGACUCUCAGGACUCUCAGAGCUAUAUAAUGCCAAAAAAUAGUAACUGUUCCUACAGACUGACACAAUUAACCAAAUUCCACUCCCAGAUCUUCACUGUUGGCAACUCGUGCAGCACUUUCUGCAGCCCAAGUUGGAGCCCUCUCCUGUUCCUGAGUUCUGUCUCCAGCUCUAAUGAGCAAUAACUGAAUAACUCUGGCAUUCCGCUCACCUACCAGGAAAAGAAUUACUUUCCUCACAGAGCUUCUUAUAUUUAACUAGAUUUUUUUAAUGAGCUUUGACAUUCUCAGAUGAAAAGAACAAUGUGUACAAUGUCUAUUACAGCAAAACCUGUAUAUGACAGAUUCCUACAUGUUUUCCUGUCUUUUGUCUCACCUUUCCUGUCACCACACUCCUACACAGGCCUCAAGACAUGCUGCAAAUGUUUGAGUAAUGCCAACUUCAAACCCCAGAAUUCCCAUUAACAUCCUCACUCUUCACUGAGCAAUGUUGUGUUUAUUUUAAUCUGAUGCUUUUUGGAUAGAGACAGAGGUUACUCCCCCUGAGAGUUCAAAUAUCAAUAGUGCUCUGCAUCACAAGGGAAGUUUUUAAUGAUUCCCACAAAACCCGCUGCCACUUGGUAACAAGACAAUGGAUGAAAUGCACGGAGUGUAAAAUCUGUCUCUAAUGCUAUUCCUGAGGGACCAAAUCUAGAAGUGUUACUCAACUUUGCUUAGGAUUCAGCAAGAGUUUUCCUGCUGCAGGACUGAGGAGAUGAUAAAUAAGAGUUUGGAGAAUUGGCCAGAGCUAAAAUCCUGGAAAGCAAACAUUUAUAAAUUGUCUCUGUAGAAAUGUUGGCUCCCUUUUAAUUUCCCUAUGAGUGGAGAAGAGGGAGGGGAUCUUCUGUACAUCUCCUUGCAGGAGAACCCACAGAAGCACAAAGUAUAGUUUUUCCUAGUCCUCAACACUUAGUUAUCCUAAAGCUUCAAUUCAGCAUUCAUUUCAAUUUUUACUACUGUCACUUCCAUGCUUUUUUAUCUAUAUUUAUUGUGUUUCCUUAGAAAUCCUCUCUAGCUCAAGAGCUUCUGAGAGGAAAUUCAGCCUUGCUUCAGAUAGAGCAUCACUGAAGGAAACUGAGGAGUUACUUCCCCUGGGAAUUAUUUCAGGGCCUUCUACAUAAAAAUUUUGUUGGCACAAGUAUUUCAGAAUAACUCCCAGUAUAAAUCCUCCAGUAUUCCAUUUUGAAAGUGGAAUUUCUGAUGAUCAUUCUACCUAGGAAUACUUCUUGUCAGUACUCAGUUUUUCUCAUGAGAGCUUUCAUUACACAGAGCAUCUGUAGCAAAAUAAAGCCUCAGAUGGAAACACAAACCCAACCACAACAUAUACAAUUUAAUCACCAGCUGAUUUCAAAUAAACAUCUUGUUUUUCAAACAUUUUUGUGAAAUUGUAGCUGUAUUGAGCUUGGUUAAAGUCUUCUAUUGCCUCACUGCAGAAUGGACUGGCUCUAAUAACAAAAUUCACAACUGUACACCUUACAUGCAAAAUAUGAACAAAACAUUCUUAAGCACCCACAAAGCUUAUGUUUCAUGUUCAGAAGUGGCUUAGGUUUCAUGGCCUUUCAAUUUCAUUUAAGGUUUUUCAGAAUAUUUUGCCUGCCUCUUUGCCUGUGGUACCUGGGAAUGAGCACAUGACCAUUCAUCUCUUCAGGGAUUCCAAGCGGGUACUCUGGAAGAGAACUGAGGAGGAGUUAGGACAAAAGGUGUUUUAGGAAGCUGGGAACAGCACAUCACCAGCACUAAACUGAAGCAAGCAAGCAAAAAAAAGAAACUAUGUGAAAGAACACCUCUUCCUUCCCCCAAAACUGAACCCUCUGCUUUCUCUUUUCACAUGAAAACACAGGUUUGUA